RNAcentral lists this ribosomal RNA (492 nucleotides) under uncultured bacterium. RNAcentral's name for it is "partial 16S ribosomal RNA". It matches the Rfam family "Bacterial small subunit ribosomal RNA", at positions 29 to 507 of the family's 1533-position model. The record is from RNAcentral.
AGUGAACGCUGGCGGUAGGCCUAACACAUGCAAGUCGAACGGCAGCACAGUAAGAGCUUGCUCUUACGGGUGGCGAGUGGCGGACGGGUGAGGAAUACAUCGGAAUCUACUUUUUCGUGGGGGAUAACGUAGGGAAACUUACGCUAAUACCGCAUACGAACUACGGGUGAAAGCAGGGAAUCUUCGGACCUUGCGCGAUUGAAUGAGCCGAUGUCGGAUUAGCUAGUUGGCGGGGUAAAGGCCCACCAAGGCGACGAUCCGUAGCUGGUCUGAGAGGAUGAUCAGCCACACUGGGACUGAGACACGGCCCAGACUCCUACGGGAGGCAGCAGUGGGGAAUAUUGGACAAUGGGCGCAAGCCUGAUCCAGCCAUGCCGCGUGGGUGAAGAAGGCCUUCGGGUUGUAAAGCCCUGUUGUUGGGAAAGAAAAGCAGCUAGUUAAUACCCCGCUGUUCUGACGGUACCCAAAGAAUAAGCACCGGCUAACUUCGUG